This 1793-nucleotide long non-coding RNA is filed under the name Megachile rotundata (alfalfa leafcutting bee). RNAcentral describes it as "uncharacterized LOC105662559, transcript variant X3". Lineage: Eukaryota; Metazoa; Arthropoda; Insecta; Hymenoptera; Megachilidae. The record is from RNAcentral.
GGAUGCGCGGCAUGUAUUUACCACGGAUAACGGAACCAUGCCGAUGCUCGAGCGUUCCUUAUUGCGCGCGCGAACGAGAAAACGGGACGGAGACACGCAACGUUGAAAAAAGAAACGAGGAAGAACUCGUACGGUAUCGUCAUCCGCUUGAACGAACUCUCAAAGAAUUUCUGUGGGUCGAAGAUUACGGCAUCGACGGUAAAAGUAAAAUCGCAUUCGCUGACAGCAUCGAAUAAUAACGAAUUUUCGUUGUACUGUACCGGUCGAUUGUUUUCGACGGGUAACGGUAAUCGAUAAGAAGCUACUCAUUCGAGUUGAUCUAUCUGGGAAAUUGCACCGUCGAGAGCCUGCACGAUAUCUCGAUAUCUCGAACGGUUUUGGAGGCAAUCAGAUCCGAGCCCUUUACUCGAGUCGUGUAAUUAGCAAGCAUAAUUUAAUGCGUGAAGUUUAAAUUGAAGUUUUGAGAUCGCCCUUCCGGAAGCGUGGACAAACAAGGAAGAAGUACAAAGAGGUUCAAAGAAACAUUUAAAGUGUCCAACUAUACGGCUCACGCUUUCAACGACUAUGAAAGAGUUUUUUAAAUUAAAAAUUGUCUGGUACUUGGAAUAUGAACUGGUCGACAGCCAUGUUUCAAAAUGAAAAGCAAUAUGUAAAAGAAGGAAUCUCAUUAAAACUUGUUACAGAUGAAUAUAACUGCGUUGCAACUUUUAACCGCGGACGCUUGUAUAAUUCAUUCUUUCACAUAAAUCACAGCCUGUUUUCGAGCAAUGUUACCGUAACUGCAUACAAAACGAUAACACAGUUACCUUCGCUCGCGUUUCAAGGUAUAAAAUUUCCAUAAAUUUAACCAGUCGCGAUUUAACGCUGGCUAGCGAAACUUUAAAGUCCGUUGAGAAAGUAUAAGGUUACCGCGAAUUCAACGAUAUCCGUCUUCUUCAUAGUGCGAAGGGGCAAGAAUAGAAUUGCAAACACCAGUCCGGUAAUUAACGGCAAAAGUAUUGACAAAAAAAGAAGGAAAGUUCAACGCCGUGAGUUAGAUUUAAUUAAUAACCAUCGAACGUAACCCGUCGUGGUAGUCUACCAGUCGUCGGGGAACUGCAUUUUCUAAAUUAAUUUCCGCCCGACUCGAAACCAUGUUUUCUGUCCUUGAUAUUUCCAACGAUUUCCGGCGACGAGGAAACUUGAUGACCCUUCAUGCGCUCCUAAAGCGAUUUUUAUCGUUGGAACCGAAUGGUACCGGGUCGAUACGAAAUCACAAAGAUUUCAGCUGUUGAUAAAAAUGUAUGUGCCAGUUUCAGAAAAGAACAUUCCUUUAAACCGUCUAUGACAAAGUUUUGCGAACACCUUUGAGAAGAUACUUGUGUCAGAAUUCAAUUAGAACGAGCAAAAUCGAUUCCGAUAUCAUCUUUAUAAAAAGAACGAAACCGGUUUCUGCAAAUUCUGUUAGACGGUGCGUAGUGUAUUUCGUGCUCACAAUCACAGAAACAGUUUACACCCGUUGGUCGAUUUGCACGGAAAGAGAAUGAUUCGAGUCAAAAGAAGCAGUUCACAUCACCAUAACUAAGGAUCAUUAAGCAAAUGUAGAGGAUGAUGUAUUCACAAGAUCAUUUGUACAGUCGUUGUAUAUUACGCAUGACGCCACUUCACUUUCAAUUGUAUUUUUGCAAGUUAGAAACUGGCGUAAAGUGAUCAUAAUAAAUUGUGGCAUCCUCACGACGAAGCGUUACCAUCAUAGAAAUUUCGAUCGAUGACAAUCAUCCAUUCAUAACCCAUCUCUCGGGGACAGCAAGACG